UUCUGUUUUGGGGUACUGUGAAGCCAUUACAAUAUAGGAACUAUUAAUUUCUGUUUGAAUUUUUAGAUCAUGCAUAAUUUAAUGUAAAAACAAAAAAUCUAUUAUAGUCUGGAUCCCAUUAUAGUAGCAGAAAUUUGUACUACAGAAAGAUUAUCCAUAAGGUAUAUAAUUAUAAUCAUAUUUUAUAAUCCUGACAUUUUCUUUCCUCUAAAACCUUAGGUCAUUAUGCAAUCUUUCUCGGACUCAGCUCUCUAAUUCUUAAGCCACAGCAAAAGAGAUGAAAUUCUGCCUGAACUAUUAUCCUCCAUUUACAGUUAAGUAAACUGAUGUCCUGGGAAAUGAGGCACUUUAGUUUUAAAAGCUGCUAAAGUCUACUGCUACAUCAUGCAGAAUUCUUCAGGACAGGGCAUCUGAAAAAAUUUGAGUCAAUGCACAGGAUAUUGUCCUGGGAAGCACCAUAUAAAAAAAUAAAGAAGAGGAACAGAAUCUGUGGCAAAGAAAGGUUAAAUUAUUGAUAACAUGUUUUGAAUUCUGAAACAUCAAUUUCUGAAACUAGAGCUUCUGGGGUUUUUUAAAUUUAAAUUUUAAUAAAAAUGCUAUAAUUAAUAUCUCAGCAAAUCUUUGUCCUCAUGUCCGAUUAUUUAAGAAAAUUACUAGAAAUUGGAUUAAUGAUCCAAGGGUGAGAUUAUUUUUAAGUCUUUUAAUAAAUGUUCCCAAUCUGUUUUUAGUAGAGUUGGUAGCAAUUAUUAUUCCCACCAUCGGCGGGCAAGGGUGAC
This is a long non-coding RNA of Pan troglodytes (chimpanzee), 776 nucleotides long. RefSeq lists it as uncharacterized. NCBI's taxonomy places the organism in Eukaryota, Metazoa, Chordata, Mammalia, Primates, Hominidae. The record is from RefSeq and is a predicted model, not a curated record. The transcript has 4 exons.